RNAcentral lists this ribosomal RNA (498 nucleotides) under uncultured bacterium. RNAcentral describes it as "partial 16S ribosomal RNA". It matches the Rfam family "Bacterial small subunit ribosomal RNA", at positions 28 to 507 of the family's 1533-position model. The record is from RNAcentral.
GACGAACGCUGGCGGCGUGCCUAAUACAUGCAAGUCGAACGAGAGCGACCGGUUCUUGCACUGGUCAAUCUAGUGGCGAACGGGUGAGUAACACGUGGGUAACCUGCCCAUCAGAGGGGGAUAACAUUCGGAAACGGAUGCUAAAACCGCAUAUGUCUUCGAACCGCAUGGUUUGAAGAGGAAAAGAGGCGCAAGCUUCUGCUGAUGGAUUUACCCGCGGUGCAUUAGCUAGUUGGUGAGGUAACGGCUCACCAAGGCCGUGAUGCAUAGCCGACCUGAGAGGGUGAUCGGCCACAUUGGGACUGAGAAACGGCCCAAACUCCUAAGGGAGGCAGCAGUAGGGAAACUUCCGAAAUGGACGCAAGUCUGAAGGAGGAAAGCCGCGUGAGUGAAGAAGGUUUUCGGAUCGUAAAACUCUGUUGUUAGAGAAGAAUAAGUGCUAGAGUAACUGUUAGCGACUUGACGGUAUCUAACAAGAAAGCCACGGCUAAAUACGUG